Molecule: transfer-messenger RNA, 357 nt
Filed under: Christensenellaceae
Lineage: Bacteria; Bacillati; Bacillota; Clostridia; Christensenellales
Also listed under: 1 other name
Description: UBA1259 sp016295005 Standard tmRNA
Rfam family: transfer-messenger RNA
About the family: Bacterial tmRNA, also known as 10Sa RNA or SsrA, is named for its dual tRNA and mRNA-like properties. Its role is to liberate the mRNA from a stalled ribosome.
Source: RNAcentral
GGGGGCGAUUCAGUUUCGAUCGGGCGUAUUCGUUUUGAAGUAAGCAUACCGAAGGCUCGGCUUCGUAAAAACGAGAUUUUAAAUUUAAAUGCUAAUAAUAACAAUCAAUUAGCUUACGCUGCUUAAUUUAAGCGUAUGUCCUGUUUUAUUUUUCCCGUCGGGUAAAAUAAGGGCAUCAAUCAAGACGGGGAACGGCAAAAAGUUUUAUUCGCGGAUUUUUUGCGGCUUUUAGCGGAAGUGGAAAAAAUAUAGGUUGCCGAUAACCGUGUUUUUUUCGAGAGUUAACGUUCGGAUAAGUAUGUAGAAGGUCAAAAGGAAGCGUUCGAGACCGGAGUGCAACUCUCCGCGCCUCCACCA